CCGGAGUUUAGCAAGACUCCCAAACCCCUGUGAACUAUACGCACUGUUGCCUUCGGCGGGAUGCAGCCCGGGCUCCGUUACCGAGGACGGUCAGCCGCCAGAGGACAGCCUAAAACUCUGUUUCUAUAUGUACGUUGCAUCUGAGGAAAACCAUAAAUAAAGUCA
This 165-nucleotide unclassified non-coding RNA is filed under the name soil metagenome. RNAcentral's name for it is "partial internal transcribed spacer 1". The record is from RNAcentral.